RNAcentral lists this ribosomal RNA (253 nucleotides) under uncultured bacterium. RNAcentral describes it as "partial 16S ribosomal RNA". It matches the Rfam family "Bacterial small subunit ribosomal RNA", at positions 524 to 776 of the family's 1533-position model. The record is from RNAcentral.
GACGAAGGGGGCUAGCGUUGUUCGGAAUUACUGGGCGUAAAGCGAGUGUAGGUGGUUGUCCAAGUCAACUGUUAAAUCUUGAGGCUCAACCUCAAAAUCGCAGUCGAAACUAUUAGGCUAGAGUAUAGUAGGGGUAAAGGGAAUUUCCAGUGGAGCGGUGAAAUGCGUAGAGAUUGGAAAGAACACCGAUGGCGAAGGCACUUUACUGGGCUAUUACUAACACUCAGAGACGAAAGCUAGGGUAGCAAAUGGG